RNAcentral lists this non-coding RNA (23 nucleotides) under Cricetulus griseus (Chinese hamster). Lineage: Eukaryota; Metazoa; Chordata; Mammalia; Rodentia; Cricetidae. The record is from RNAcentral.
CACAAGAGAAAGCUGAGAACGUG